This is a long non-coding RNA of Gallus gallus (chicken), 1825 nucleotides long. NCBI's taxonomy places the organism in Eukaryota, Metazoa, Chordata, Aves, Galliformes, Phasianidae. The record is from Ensembl.
GUUGAGGCGUUAUGUUAUAAAUGCAAGUUUAAGACUUUUGCUUAAUUGAGGAGCAGAGAUCCAGAGGAGUGUGAAGGCUGGGGAAGGGGUAAAGGUGCAGUUAAUUCUCUAACGGAUGCUGGCUGGGAUUCUGGGUUACUCUGCACACAGGGCAGUUCUCCAUUUGUGGUGGUGAAGGAGCUGCUGAUCACAGCCAAGGCUAAAAGGGACCAGGAGUGCCUUGUCACAGGAUGUUUAGGUGAUUGCGGAUGCCCAGUGCCUGACUGCAGCAGUGACCUUGUGCAGAGAGAAGCUGGUGCUGCUGUGGAUUAUGGCUCUGCGAUGAGGAUGAAUGAGUUUGUGAUCCAAAUGGGAAAGAAGUCAACUGGAAGUCAGAGAAGAGAUAAAUUAAUAAUUGCAAAUGCUGCAUAAUUGCAGAUAAAUUCCAGUAGGCUUGCAUUAAUUGAAAACCCAAACCCUCAUGAGAUCAAUGAGGAUUUACCAUUGACCUCAGCCAGGAGAUGUGGAUGGUGACUGAGCCACUAAUGUAAACUUGUAUCCUGAUUGUUUUAAAAACAUGUAUUAUUGGCCUGGUUCAUAGCAAUAAUCUGUGGAUAAAUACAACCCAUCCCUGCCCAGUCACAGUUGCAGAGACCUACUGCAGAAAAUGGAACCAGAAAGAUCUGGAGACACACACUGGGAGAAAUCCUCUUUAAUACAGCGCUUCAAAUGGAAUGCCUGCAGUGCUACAUGGCAAAUUUAAAGCUAAAAUCCACACCUCAUUAACAACGAAUCCUGAUGAGUAAGUUAAGUAGAAGAAACAUCAAUAAUUUAUGGUGAUGAACUCAGCGUUUUCUCUCUCCUUUUUUUUCUUUUUGUGUUGCAUCUGUCUUUGGAAGCCUCCAGUAUGUUACAAAUGAAGUGCCAGAGAUGAGCUAGAAAGAAAAAAGCUAGGAGCUUUUCCAGGGAGACAGAGAAUAAAUAUAGAACUCCACAAAUGCAAACACACAUGCUUUGGACAGUUAAGAAUUUUUAAUCACACAGUGUUUUAUCUUCUCAGAACUUCCCAAGUGGCAAAAUAUAUCCCCAGGAAAAGAAAUGACAGCAGACAAAAAGCAAAGAGAACCAGAAAACAAAAUUCAAAUCAGAAAGCUUACCAUAAUACAAUUCAGAAUUCUUUGUUCCCUGAAUGAUAAAAGAAAAGUAGUUGUCAAGACUAUGGCCAGUUUUACUCAAAGAAGGCUACCAAUUUAACAGUGGGUAAAUAUCUUCCAGAUAUCUUGGCUGAGAAAGAGCAGAGAGAAUGAACCAAAUGAUUAGAUUUCAAAGUGUGAGUGAUAUAGCUGCAUUUUGUAUUGGUGUUUGUCAGCCUGUGUUAUUUCUGCAGUUGCCUAGCAUGGCUUUACCUUAGAGCUCUACCCUACAGUAAUUCCCAGAUCAGAUAUCCCAUGUGUAACAGUAGGAGGAACCUUUUUUCAGAAGGUCUGCUGUAUGUUGGUGAUCUCUUUUAUCCAGCUCUAUUACUGUUACCUCCUUUUUUGAAUAAGCACUUGGCAAAUAUAAUUUCUGCUGGUGAAGGAAACUGAAGAUGGAGACAGGCGUUCCUUUGAAGAAGAUACCUGUCUUUUCGAAGACUAUAAAAAUUCUGCUACCUUAAAUACAAUAAAAACCUAAUAUUACGAAGCUUUAAAUGAAGUAAUUUCUUUCUUCAAAGUCCUCAAACUCUUUCCAUGGUACUACACAUGUUCUUUUACUCAGAGUCAUAGUAUGGGAAGCUUUCUUGAUGUGGAUCCCUCCUGUGCCUCCACUGCAGUUGGACAUCUGAAUAAAAGUGCAUUUGAAUCAA